GAUGAACGCUGGCGGCGUGCCUAAUACAUGCAAGUCGAGCGAUCGGACGAGAAGCUUGCUUCUCUGAUGUUAGCGGCGGACGGGUGAGUAACACGUGGAUAACCUACCUAUAAGACUGGGAUAACUUCGGGAAACCGGAGCUAAUACCGGAUAAUAUUUUGAACCGCAUGGUUCAAAAGUGAAAGACGGUCUUGCUGUCACUUAUAGAUGGAUCCGCGCUGCAUUAGCUAGUUGGUAAGGUAACGGCUUACCAAGGCAACGAUGCAUAGCCGACCUGAGAGGGUGAUCGGCCACACUGGAACUGAGACACGGUCCAGACUCCUACGGGAGGCAGCAGUAGGGAAUCUUCCGCAAUGGGCGAAAGCCUGACGGAGCAACGCCGCGUGAGUGAUGAAGGUCUUCGGAUCGUAAAACUCUGUUAUUAGGGAAGAACAUAUGUGUAAGUAACUGUGCACAUCUUGACGGUACCUAAUCAGAAAACCACGGCUAACUACGU
This 496-nucleotide ribosomal RNA is filed under the name uncultured bacterium. Its description in RNAcentral is "partial 16S ribosomal RNA". It matches the Rfam family "Bacterial small subunit ribosomal RNA", at positions 28 to 506 of the family's 1533-position model. The record is from RNAcentral.